GUCUGCAAGGCCUACGCAACAGUGUGACCCUGGACUGCACGUGGUUCAAGGAUGAAGGUCUCCAGUGGCGGCCCAGGACCAUGGACUUGGAAAGAAGCACACUUUUAGUUUUUGCGUUGUUCCCUCUCACCUUCGCAGCUGCUGGCUUCUUAAUCACACUGUUUGCUCUGUAACCAUUUUCUUGUGGAGUCCCUGGCUUUAUCUGACCCCCGUGACCUUGAUUGAGAAAACCUGAUGCUGAGAUGCUUUUCCUCAGAUGUGGGUUGAGCAGGUGAGGGUCUGCUGGGUUUUAUAAUGAACUUCAAUCCCUCAGGGCUGGAGUCUAUUUGGAAAACAAUCCUGUCUGUGACUGGCCGGAGAGGGGCUUACUUUUAGAAAAUACCAGUGAACGUGUGUCUGAGCAGCCAGUCUGCUAGGCUGAAUCCGCCCUCGCUGGCUAGAGUUGGGGUGCAAAUUCUGCCUACACCAAGCACUGCCAGCCCCUGUCACCAAGGCAGAGCAACUGUGCUUGGCCCAUAGUCACUUCAGCCACGGCCACCCUCUUCUCUGAAUGAAGCACAACGGAGAGCCAGUCACUGGCCUGAGAUCAGGUGGCUGUUUAGCCUCAGACCCAAGAUUUGCCCCCAGCCGACUUGGUUAGGACUCAGGUUCAUCACCUCUGAGCUGCGCCCAAGAUCUCAGCCCCUGUAACGGGAGGAUGGCAAGUCUGCUUAGGGGAACGCAUGGGUGACAUCUGGAAGGACGUGGUGACGGGGUGAACAUCUGGGAAAAGGUGACAGGCAUGUCGGUGACGUCCCAGGAUGUACUCAGGUUCAACUGCAUGAGACCCAUCGCACAGAGGGGACAACCAUAACAUGGGGAGGAUUCACUACAAAUCCAGGUCUGGAUUCUUUGGAAAAAAUCAGAAUAUCCAGCAACACCGAACACAGAUCCUGCAUGGUGGCGUCUGGUGCUAACUCGCUGUGGACCCUCUCCCUGCAUUCAGCUCAGCCCGGGAAGCCUUUGGGUCUGUGGGUUCUGUUAUGGGGUGCGCCGCCGUGUCCACGGGACCUGAGACCUUUCUGAAACAUUUCACUUGGCAAGAGUGGCGAACCCCAGGGGCGCAUUCCCCUCAGAGGGAGGCUUUCUAAGCACGGAUCGGGAAGCGUAAAUAUGAACUGAUCAGCAGCCUCUGACCUCUGACACCCUAUGUUAGCAGCGUGUGUGUCUGUGUGAUACAGACUGUCUGGAAGAAAUAAAAACCCGAGCAUCUCCA
Molecule: long non-coding RNA, 1255 nt
Filed under: Sus scrofa (pig)
Lineage: Eukaryota; Metazoa; Chordata; Mammalia; Artiodactyla; Suidae
Description: lncRNA (ENSSSCG00060061474.1)
Source: RNAcentral